AUGAACGCUGGCGGCGUGCUUCACACAUGCAAGUCGAACGGAAAGGCUCCUGCUUGCAGGGGUACUCGCGUGGCGAACGGGUGAGUAACACGUGGGUGAUCUGCCCUGCACUUCGGGAUAAGCCUGGGAAACUGGGUCUAAUACCGGAUAGGACGAUGGUUUGGAUGCCAUUGUGGAAAGUUUUUCGGUGUGGGAUGAGCUCGCGGCCUAUCAGCUUGUUGGUGGGGUAAUGGCCUACCAAGGCGUCGACGGGUAGCCGGCCUGAGAGGGUGUACGGCCACAUUGGGACUGAGAUACGGCCCAGACUCCUACGGGAGGCAGCAGUGGGGAAUAUUGCACAAUGGGCGCAAGCCUGAUGCAGCGACGCCGCGUGGGGGAUGACGGCCUUCGGGUUGUAAACUCCUUUCGCUAGGGACGAAGCGCAAGUGACGGUACCUGGAGAAGAAGCACCGGCUAACUACGUG
This 464-nucleotide ribosomal RNA is filed under the name uncultured bacterium. RNAcentral's name for it is "partial 16S ribosomal RNA". It matches the Rfam family "Bacterial small subunit ribosomal RNA", at positions 29 to 507 of the family's 1533-position model. The record is from RNAcentral.